GAAGGAUGGUUACAGGACAGGUCAGAGCAGAUGACCAGCGGUGUCUCAGGUCAAAGCAGGUGACCGGAGCAGCUCAGGUGAAAGCAAGUAA
Molecule: long non-coding RNA, 91 nt
Organism: Sapajus apella (tufted capuchin)
Lineage: Eukaryota; Metazoa; Chordata; Mammalia; Primates; Cebidae
Exons: 3
Source: RefSeq, a predicted model, not a curated record